UAAUUUAACGAAAUAUUAACGAAAAAGCUUCCGAAAAGAUAAAAAUGAAACCACAGGGGGGUAAAUUGAUACGUUUUAAACCACAGGGUAGCAAAGUGAGAAUGCACGAAACCACAGGGGGGGUUUUUGAAGUUUUCCCUAAAUUCUAUGAAACAAUUGUUAUUCUCCAAUAGCUUAAGCAACCAGAUAACUCUAUUUUCAAUACUUAUAUUCAGCACUACCCUCACGUCUGGGCUUGAGACAGUUUGAUAAGCCCAUGACGUAAUAUUUAUAUUCAACACUGCCUCUCACGUCUGGAGUUGUUUUCCAUAUUUAUACUCAACACUUCCCUCAUGUCUGGACUUGAGACUGUGUUAUAAGCCCAUGAUGUAAUAUUUAUAUUCAGCACUCCCCUCACAUCUGGGCUUAUUUUUAAUAUUUAUAUUUGAUACUUUUCCUCAUUUCUGGGCUCAUAAAGUUUGAUAGGCCUAUAACGUGGACUUACUUUAAAUGAGAAGAAAUUAAAUAUGACUAGCAGCUUGUUGAAAUUUAAACUUAAGACCUCCUUUUCUGACAGCAUGUUAAAUUAUAUGAAACAAUUGUUAUUUUUCAAUAACUUAACGUAGUCAGUAAAUAAUGUUUAUACUACUUAUAUUCAACACAUAAAAU
This 648-nucleotide long non-coding RNA is filed under the name Ananas comosus (pineapple). RNAcentral's name for it is "long non-coding RNA (ACOM_LNC012315)". The record is from RNAcentral. Lineage: Eukaryota; Viridiplantae; Streptophyta; Magnoliopsida; Poales; Bromeliaceae.